GACGAACGCUGGCGGCGUGCUUAACACAUGCAAGUCGAGCGGUAAGGCCCUUUCGGGGGUACACGAGCGGCGAACGGGUGAGUAACACGUGGGUGACCUGCCCUUAGCUCUGGGAUAAGCCUGGGAAACUGGGUCUAAUACCGGAUAUGACUCCAUAACGCAUGUUGUGGGGUGGAAAGCCUUGUGCGGCUAGGGAUGGGCCCGCGGCCUAUCAGCUUGUUGGUGGGGUGAUGGCCACCAAGGCGACGACGGGUAGCCGGCCUGAGAGGGCGACCGGCCACACUGGGACUGAGACACGGCCCAGACUCCUACGGGAGGCAGCAGGUGGGGAAUCUUGCGCAAUGGGCGAAAGCCUGACGCAGCGACGCCGCGUGGGGA
Molecule: ribosomal RNA, 378 nt
Filed under: uncultured bacterium
Lineage: Bacteria
Description: bacterial SSU rRNA
Rfam family: Bacterial small subunit ribosomal RNA
Source: RNAcentral